Molecule: ribosomal RNA, 503 nt
Filed under: uncultured Pseudomonadota bacterium
Lineage: Bacteria; Pseudomonadati; Pseudomonadota
Description: bacterial SSU rRNA
Rfam family: Bacterial small subunit ribosomal RNA
Source: RNAcentral
GUUUGAUCCUGGCUCAGAUUGAACGCUGGCGGCGUGCUUAACACAUGCAAGUCGAGCGGUAGCAGGCGUAGCAAUACGUGCUGACGAGCGGCGAACGGGUGAGUAAUGCUUAGGAAUCUUCCUCGUAGUGGGGAAUAACUUGGGGAAACUCAAGCUAAUACCGCAUACGAACUACGGUUGAAAGCGGGGGAUCGCAAGACCUCGCGCUAUGAGAUGAGCCUAAGUCGGAUUAGCUAGUUGGUGGGGUAAUGGCCUACCAAGGCGACGAUCCGUAGCUGGUCUGAGAGGACGACCAGCCACACUGGGACUGAGACACGGCCCAGACUCCUACGGGAGGCAGCAGUGGGGAAUAUUGGACAAUGGGCGCAAGCCUGAUCCAGCGACGCCGCGUGUGUGAAGAAGGCCUGCGGGUUGUAAAGCACUUUUAGUGGGGAUGAAAAGCCGAAGGCUAAUACCUUUCGGUCUUGACCUAACCCAAAGAAAAAGCACCGGCUAACUCUGUG